RNAcentral lists this ribosomal RNA (414 nucleotides) under Mariaglaja inornata. RNAcentral's name for it is "partial 16S ribosomal RNA". It matches the Rfam family "Archaeal large subunit ribosomal RNA", at positions 1909 to 2665 of the family's 2987-position model. Lineage: Eukaryota; Metazoa; Mollusca; Gastropoda; Cephalaspidea; Aglajidae. The record is from RNAcentral.
AGCCCUAGGUAGAAAUAUAGGGUAAUACCUGCUCAAUGAAUAGUAUUUUAAUAGCCGCGGUACCUUGACCGUGCUAAGGUAGCAUAAUCAGUUGACUUUUAAAUGAAGUCUGGAAUGAAGGGAAAAACGGGAUUAAACUGUCUCUUGUUUUUUAUUAUGAAUUUACUAAUCAGGUGAAAAGGCCUGAGUAAGAUAAAGGACGAGAAGACCCUUAGAGUUUUUUUAAAAUAUUUUGUUGGGGCGACAAAGAAUCAAAUUAACAUUCUUAUAUAUUAUAGGACGGAUUUAUCAUGAAUAGAUAAACUACCUGAGGGAUAACAGCAUUAUCUUUUAAGGUUUGUGACCUCGAUGUUGGACUAGGAAGCCUAUAGGCUAGCCGCUUAUAUGGGGGGUUCUGUUCGAACUUUCUCUCCU